RNAcentral lists this ribosomal RNA (340 nucleotides) under uncultured Bacillota bacterium. Its description in RNAcentral is "bacterial SSU rRNA". It matches the Rfam family "Bacterial small subunit ribosomal RNA", at positions 28 to 351 of the family's 1533-position model. The record is from RNAcentral. Lineage: Bacteria; Bacillati; Bacillota.
GACGAACGCUGGCGGCGUGCCUAACACAUGCAAGUCGAGCGAUGAAAUCCUUCGGGAUGGAUUAGCGGCGGACGGGUGAGUAACACGUGGGUAACCUGCCUCAAAGAGGGGAAUAGCCUUCCGAAAGGAAGAUUAAUACCGCAUAAUAUGUUUUGGUUGCAUGACUGAGACAUCAAAGGAGUCUUCUUCGUUAGAAGAAGCUUCCGCUUUGAGAUGGACCCGCGGCGCAUUAGCUAGUUGGUGAGGUAACGGCUCACCAAGGCGACGAUGCGUAGCCGACCUGAGAGGGUGAUCGGCCACAUUGGAACUGAGACACGGUCCAGACUCCUACGGGAGGCUG